UACGUAGGGUGCGAGCGUUGUCCGGAAUUACUGGGCGUAAAGAGCUCGUAGGUGGUUUGUCGCGUUGUCCGUGAAAACUCACAACUCAAUUGUGGGCGUGCGGGCGAUACGGGCAGACUGGAGUACUGCAGGGGAGACUGGAAUUCCUGGUGUAGCGGUGGAAUGCGCAGAUAUCAGGAGGAACACCGGUGGCGAAGGCAGAUCUCUGGGCCGUAACUGACGCUGAGGAGCGAAAGCGUGGGGAGCGAACAGG
Molecule: ribosomal RNA, 253 nt
Filed under: uncultured bacterium
Lineage: Bacteria
Description: partial 16S ribosomal RNA
Rfam family: Bacterial small subunit ribosomal RNA
Source: RNAcentral